Molecule: ribosomal RNA, 445 nt
Filed under: uncultured bacterium
Lineage: Bacteria
Description: SSU rRNA
Rfam family: Bacterial small subunit ribosomal RNA
Source: RNAcentral
AGAGCGAACGCUGGCGGCAGGCUUAACACAUGCAAGUCGAGCGGCCGUAGCAAUACGGCAGCGGCAGACGGGAGAGUAACACGUGGGAACGCGCCCUUCGGUUCGGAAUAACUCAGGGAAACUUGGGCUAAUACCGGAUACGCCCUUACGGGGAAAGAUUUAUUGCCGAAGGAACGGCCCGCGUCCGAUUAGCUUGUUGGUGAGGUAACGGCUCACCAAGGCGACGAUCGGUAGCUGGUCUGAGAGGAUGACCAGCCUCACUGGGACUGAGACACGGCCCAGACUCCUACGGGAGGCAGCAGUGGGGAAUAUUGGACAAUGGGCGCAAGCCUGAUCCAGCCAUGCCGCGUGGGUGAUGAAGGCCCUAGGGUUGUAAAGCCCUUUCGGCGGGGAAGAUAAUGACGGUACCCGCAGAAGAGCCCGGCUAACUCGCGCCAGCAGCCGC